RNAcentral lists this unclassified non-coding RNA (339 nucleotides) under fungal sp. Its description in RNAcentral is "partial internal transcribed spacer region". The stretch from base 1 to 46 matches the Rfam family "Eukaryotic small subunit ribosomal RNA", at positions 1786 to 1831 of the family's 1831-position model. The record is from RNAcentral. Lineage: Eukaryota; Fungi.
AAGUCGUAACAAGGUUUCCGUAGGUGAACCUGCGGAAGGAUCAUUAACGAAUCAACUAGGCGGGCUGCUGCUGGCCCCUUUGGGAGCAUGUGCACGCUCGUCGUUGUUCCUUCCUUCUUUCUCCACCUGUGCAUCUUUGUGGGCCUUUGACACAGUUUCGAGGGUAUUUUUCACUCGGUUUCGAGGAGCUGACGCUGACGCUUUUGCUGGCGACUUUCCUUGCGUCUUUGGCCUGCGCCCCAACACACACACACGCACGCUACAGAAUGUUUCUUUACGGGCCCGCCGUGGCCCCUAAAACCCCUCAUACAACUUUCAACAACGGAUCUCUUGGCUCUC